Molecule: ribosomal RNA, 253 nt
Filed under: uncultured bacterium
Lineage: Bacteria
Description: partial 16S ribosomal RNA
Rfam family: Bacterial small subunit ribosomal RNA
Source: RNAcentral
UACAGAGGUCUCAAGCGUUGUUCGGAUUCAUUGGGCGUAAAGGGUGCGUAGGUGGCUGUGUAAGUCUAACGUGAAAUCUCGGGGCUCAACCUCGAAAUUGCGUCGGAUACUGCAUGGCUAGAGGAUUGUAGAGGAGAGUGGAAUUCAUGGUGUAGCAGUGAAAUGCGUAGAUAUCAUGAGGAAGACCAGUUGCGAAGGCGACUCUCUGGGCAACUCCUGACACUGAGGCACGAAGGCUAGGGGAGCAAACGGG